AGUGAACGCUGGCGGUAGACCUAACACAUGCAAGUCGAACGGCAGCACAGUAAGAGCUUGCUCUUACGGGUGGCGAGUGGCGGACGGGUGAGGAAUACAUCGGAAUCUACUUUUUCGUGGGGGAUAACGUAGGGAAACUUACGCUAAUACCGCAUACGACCUACGGGUUAAAUCAGUGGAUCUUCGUACCUUGCGCGAUUGAAUGAGCCGAUGUCGGAUUAGCUAGUUGGCGGGGUAAAGGCCCACCAAGGCGACGAUCCGUAGCUGGUCUGAGAGGAUGAUCAGCCACACUGGACCUGAGACACGGUCCAGACUCCUACGGGAGGCAGCAGUGGGGAAUAUUGGACAAUGGGCGCAAGCCUGAUCCAGCCAUACCGCGUGGGUGAAGAAGGCCUUCGGGUUGUAAAGCCCUUUUGUUGGGAAAGAAAAGCAGCAGGUUAAUACCCCGCUGUUCUGACGGUACCCAAAGAAUAAGCACCGGCUAACUUCGUG
RNAcentral lists this ribosomal RNA (492 nucleotides) under uncultured bacterium. Its description in RNAcentral is "partial 16S ribosomal RNA". It matches the Rfam family "Bacterial small subunit ribosomal RNA", at positions 29 to 507 of the family's 1533-position model. The record is from RNAcentral.